GGAAGAUAAAGACAUCAUGAUCAGAAAGCUCAACAGGAUCACUCUGCUGCUUCUCUGGCUCUCCUGAGAGCAGGACACUGUACAAACUCACUGAUGAAGACAUGUGACGGUCCGUAAAGCAGACUCCUCCUCCUCGUCCUCUACAUCCAGGCAGCUCUCUUCAGUUUGCAGUCAUUAUUGUUUUCUUUUCAUCUACCUUACAAUCAUGAUCAGACUUCUUAUACGUUUAGCAGCUCUGCCGUUCUGUUUAACAGAACUCUCAAAAACCAGCGUUCAUCAGACUCCCACUGCCAUGAUUAAAGAUGCUGGAGAAGACAUCCUGAUGAACUGCAACCAUUCAAACACUGCUUUUAAUAUGAUCCAGUGGUACAAACAGUCUGCUGGAGAAUAUGAUAUGGCUUUAAUUGGUUAUGUACGAUUCACUUCUGCGGUUGUUGAAGAUAAAUUCAAAGACUCUCAUAAUGUGAGCGGUGAUGGAUCAAGUCUGGCACAUCUUCAUAUUCCAAAGAGUCGAUCCGAGAACAGCGCAGUGUAUUUCUGUGCAGCCAGUAGAGCACAGUGCUACACAAACCCUCCGUCUUUAACAAAAACCUUCUCUGACGCAGCCAGUUACAGAAAUUACCACUUGAACCACAUUGUGAAUGACUGAUAGACAGCUGGUGCACCAUGAGACAGGAGGACUUAAUCAGAAAGGGAGGAGGGAAUCCUCUGUAUACCAGCAUAGUGAAGAAAACAGCACCAGAAACAAGACUGACUUUAAAAACACAACAUGAUGAUCAUUGUCUGCUGCAUAACCUUGAAUGUUAUACUGGUUUCAGGUUCCUCUCUAAAUGAACUAGUCUACCAGAAGCCAGCCCACACUUUCAACAAACCUGAAGGAGCAGCUAAAAUUGAGUGUUCAAAGUAUACA
This is a long non-coding RNA of Dicentrarchus labrax (European seabass), 910 nucleotides long. RefSeq lists it as uncharacterized. NCBI's taxonomy places the organism in Eukaryota, Metazoa, Chordata, Actinopteri, Moronidae. The record is from RefSeq and is a predicted model, not a curated record. The transcript is spliced from 5 exons.